Molecule: ribosomal RNA, 379 nt
Filed under: uncultured eukaryote
Lineage: Eukaryota
Description: partial 18S ribosomal RNA
Rfam family: Eukaryotic small subunit ribosomal RNA
Source: RNAcentral
CAAUAGCGUAUAUUAAAGUUGUUGCGGUUAAAAAGCUCGUAGUUGGAUUUCUGCUGAGAACGACCGGUCCGCCCUUUGGGUGUGUAUCUGGCUCUUUCUUGGCAUCUUCUUGGUGAACGUUGCUGCACUUGACUGUGUGGAGCGCUACCCAGGACUUUUACUUUGAGGAAAUUAGAGUGUUUCAAGCAGGCAUACGCCUUGAAUACAUUAGCAUGGAAUAAUAAGAUAGGACCUCGGUUCUAUUUUGUUGGUUUCUAGAGCUGAGGUAAUGAUUAAUAGGGAUAGUUGGGGGCAUUCGUAUUCCGUUGUCAGAGGUGAAAUUCUUGGAUUUACGGAAGACGAACAUCUGCGAAAGCAUUUGCCAAGGAUGUUUUCAUUG